This 422-nucleotide unclassified non-coding RNA is filed under the name Hevea brasiliensis (rubber tree). Lineage: Eukaryota; Viridiplantae; Streptophyta; Magnoliopsida; Malpighiales; Euphorbiaceae. The record is from RNAcentral.
GGUAUAAGGAGAUCAAGCAAGAGGAGGAAGGUGAAUUCAUUGAUGGAUUUGGAUUUUAGAAAGUCUAAACGGCUGGUUUUGAUGAGGGAUCGAAGGGAAAAAUCGUGUUAUCCAUUGGGAUUGAGAGGAUUGAACAAUUUGGGCAGUACUUGCUUCAUGAAUUCUGUGUUGCAAGCAUUGCUUCAUGCACCCCCUUUCAGGAAUUACUUCUUGAGUGGUCGACAUGACCGUGAAACUUGUAAGAAGAGAUCAGCAGAUCGAUUAUGUUUGGCUUGCAAUAUUGAUGUUAUUUUCUCUGCUGUGUAUUCUGGGGAUCGAACACCUUACAGCCCUGCUCAGGUUCUUUACAGUUGGUGGCAGCAUUCAGCAAAGCUAAAUCUAGCUAGUUACGAACAGCAGGAUGCUCAUGAAUUCUUCAUUUC